CUCCUACGGGAGGCAGCAGUGGGGAAUCUUGGACAAUGGGCGCAAGCCUGAUCCAGCCAUGCCGCGUGAGUGACGAAGGCCCUAGGGUUGUAAAGCUCUUUCGGCGGGGACGAUAAUGACGGUACCCGCAGAAGAAGCCCCGGCUAACUCCGUGCCAGCAGCCGCGGUAAUACGGAGGGGGCUAGCGUUGUUCGGAAUCACUGGGCGUAAAGCGCACGUAGGCGGACCAUUAAGUCAGGGGUGAAAGCCCGAGGCUCAACCUCGGAACUGCCUUUGAUACUGAUGGUCUCGAGUCCGGGAGAGGUGAGUGGAAUUCCUAGUGUAGAGGUGAAAUUCGUAGAUAUUAGGAAGAACACCAGUGGCGAAGGCGGCUCACUGGCCCGGUACUGACGCUGAGGUGCGAAAGCGUGGGGAGCAAACAGGAUUAGAUACCCCGGUAGUCCACGCCGUAAACGAUGGAAGCUAGCCGUCGGUCGGCAUGCCGUUCGGUGGCGCAGCUAACGCAUUAAGCUUCCCGCCUGGGGAGUACGGUCCGCAAGAUUAAAACUCAAAGGAAUUGACGG
This 563-nucleotide ribosomal RNA is filed under the name uncultured bacterium. RNAcentral describes it as "bacterial SSU rRNA". It matches the Rfam family "Bacterial small subunit ribosomal RNA", at positions 336 to 916 of the family's 1533-position model. The record is from RNAcentral.